RNAcentral lists this ribosomal RNA (2917 nucleotides) under Lactiplantibacillus plantarum. RNAcentral describes it as "bacterial LSU rRNA". It matches the Rfam family "Bacterial large subunit ribosomal RNA". Lineage: Bacteria; Bacillati; Bacillota; Bacilli; Lactobacillales; Lactobacillaceae. The record is from RNAcentral. RNAcentral also lists the same sequence under 1 other name.
UUAAGUUAACAAGGGCGCAUGGUGAAUGCCUUGGCACUAGGAGCCGAUGAAGGACGGGACUAACACCGAUAUGCUUCGGGGAGCUGUACGUAAGCUAUGAUCCGGAGAUUUCCGAAUGGGGCAACCCAGCAGUUUUAAUCAACUGUUACCACUAGAUGAAUUCAUAGUCUAGUUGGAGGUAAACGCUGUGAACUGAAACAUCUCAUUAGCAGCAGGAAUAUAAAGAAAUUUCGAUUCCCUAAGUAGCGGCGAGCGAACGGGGAACAGCCCAAACCAAAGUGCUUGCACUUUGGGGUUGUAGGACUGAACAUUUGAGUUACCAAAGAACUUGAUAGUCGAAGGAUUUGGGAAAAUCCGCCAUAGAUGGUGAUAGCCCAGUAGAUUAAAUCAAAUUCUCUCAGUUCAGGAUCCUGAGUACGGCGGAACACGUGAAAUUCCGUCGGAAUCCGGGAGGACCAUCUCCCAAGGCUAAAUACUACCUAGUGACCGAUAGUGAACCAGUACCGUGAGGGAAAGGUGAAAAGCACCCCGGGAGGGGAGUGAAAUAGUUCCUGAAACCAUGUGCCUACAAUAAGUCAGAGCGCGUUAAUGCGUGAUGGCGUGCCUUUUGUAGAAUGAACCGGCGAGUUAUGAUCCCGUGCAAGGUUAAGACUAAAAAGUCGGAGCCGUAGCGAAAGCGAGUCUGAAAUGGGCGUUUUGAGUACGAGGUUAUAGACCCGAAACCAGGUGACCUAUCCAUGUCCAGGUUGAAGGUGCGGUAAAACGCACUGGAGGACCGAACCCGUGUAAGUUGAAAAUUGCUGGGAUGAGGUGUGGAUAGCGGUGAAAUUCCAAACGAACUUGGAGAUAGCUGGUUCUCUCCGAAAUAGCUUUAGGGCUAGCCUCGGAAUUAGGAUCAUGGAGGUAGAGCACUAUUUGGACUAGGGGCCCGUCUUGGGUUACUGAAUUCAGAUAAACUCCGAAUGCCAUUGAUUCAUAUCCGGGAGUCAGACGAUGAGUGAUAAGAUCCACCGUCGAAAGGGGAACAGCCCAGACCAUCAGUUAAGGUCCCUAAAUGUAUGCUAAGUGGAAAAGGAUGUGGAGUUGCAUAGACAACUAGGAUGUUGGCUCAGAAGCAGCCACCAUUUAAAGAGUGCGUAAUAGCUCACUAGUCGAGUGAUCCUGCGCCGAAAAUGUACCGGGGCUAAGCAUACUACCGAAACCAUGGAUGCGACCAUUAGGUCGCGUGAUAGGAGAGCGUUCUAAGGGCGGUGAAGCAAGAUCGUGAGGACUUGUGGAGCGCUUAGAAGUGAGAAUGCCGGUAUGAGUAGCGAAAGAUAGGUGAGAAUCCUAUCCACCGAAUGACUAAGGUUUCCUGGGGAAGGCUCGUCCUCCCAGGGUUAGUCGGGACCUAAGUCGAGGCCGAGAGGCGUAGACGAUGGAUAACAGGUUGAGAUUCCUGUACUAGUUAAGUGCGUUUGAGCAAUGGAGGGACGCAGGAGGCUAAGAUGUGCAUUCUGUUGGAUUAGAAUGUCCAAGCAGUAAGUCUUGUGAAGAGUCAAAUGCUUUUCACUUUAAGGACAAGCUGUGAUGGGGAGCGAAAUUUAGUAGCGAAGCGUCUGAUGUCACACUGCCGAGAAAAGCUUCUAGUGAGUACUUAACUACCCGUACCGCAAACCGACACAGGUAGUCGAGGAGAGAAUCCUAAGGUGAGCGAGUGAACUCUCGUUAAGGAACUCGGCAAAAUGACCCCGUAACUUCGGGAGAAGGGGUGCUGAUCGCAAGAUCAGCCGCAGUGAAUAGGCCCAGGCGACUGUUUAUCAAAAACACAGGUCUCUGCAAAAUCGUAAGAUGACGUAUAGGGGCUGACGCCUGCCCGGUGCUGGAAGGUUAAAAGGAUGGGUUAGCUUCGGCGAAGCUCAGAAUUGAAGCCCCAGUAAACGGCGGCCGUAACUAUAACGGUCCUAAGGUAGCGAAAUUCCUUGUCGGGUAAGUUCCGACCCGCACGAAAGGCGUAACGAUCUGGGCACUGUCUCAACGAGAGACUCGGUGAAAUUAUAUUGUCCGUGAAGAUGCGGACUACCCGCGACAGGACGGAAAGACCCCAUGGAGCUUUACUGUAGCUUGAUAUUGAGUGUUUGUACAGCUUGUACAGGAUAGGUAGGAGCCAUAGAAACCGGAACGCUAGUUUCGGUGGAGGCGUUGGUGGGAUACUACCCUCGCUGUAUGACCACUCUAACCCGCACCACUAAUCGUGGUGGGAGACAGUGUCAGGUGGGCAGUUUGACUGGGGCGGUCGCCUCCUAAAAAGUAACGGAGGCGCCCAAAGGUUCCCUCAGAAUGGUUGGAAAUCAUUCGCAGAGUGUAAAGGCACAAGGGAGCUUGACUGCGAGACAGACAGGUCGAGCAGGGACGAAAGUCGGGCUUAGUGAUCCGGUGGUACCGUAUGGAAGGGCCAUCGCUCAACGGAUAAAAGCUACCCUGGGGAUAACAGGCUUAUCUCCCCCAAGAGUCCACAUCGACGGGGAGGUUUGGCACCUCGAUGUCGGCUCAUCGCAUCCUGGGGCUGUAGUCGGUCCCAAGGGUUGGGCUGUUCGCCCAUUAAAGCGGUACGCGAGCUGGGUUCAGAACGUCGUGAGACAGUUCGGUCCCUAUCCGUCGCGGGCGUAGGAAAUUUGAGAGGACCUGUCCUUAGUACGAGAGGACCGGGAUGGACAUACCUCUGGUGUACCAGUUGUGCCGCCAGGCGCAUCGCUGGGUAGCUACGUAUGGAUGUGAUAAACGCUGAAAGCAUCUAAGUGUGAAACACACCUCGAGAUGAGAUUUCCCAUUCCUUUAUGGAAGUAAGACCCCUGAAAGAUGAUCAGGUAGAUAGGUUAGAAGUGGCAGUGCGGUGACGCAUGAAGCGGACUAAUACUAAUCGGUCGAGGACUUAACC